This 207-nucleotide ribosomal RNA is filed under the name uncultured bacterium. RNAcentral describes it as "partial 16S ribosomal RNA". It matches the Rfam family "Bacterial small subunit ribosomal RNA", at positions 568 to 774 of the family's 1533-position model. The record is from RNAcentral.
CACGUAGGCGGAUAUUUAAGUCAGGGGUGAAAUCCCUGAGCUUAACUUAGGAAUUGCAUUCGAUACUGGGAAGCUAGAGUAUGGGAGAGGAUGGUAGAAUUCCAGGUGUAGCGGUGAAAUGCGUAGAGAUCUGGAGGAAUACCGAUGGCGAAGGCAGCCAUCUGGCCUAAUACUGACGCUGAGGUACGAAAGCAUGGGGAGCAAACA